RNAcentral lists this ribosomal RNA (252 nucleotides) under uncultured prokaryote. RNAcentral's name for it is "partial 16S rRNA". It matches the Rfam family "Archaeal small subunit ribosomal RNA", at positions 475 to 726 of the family's 1478-position model. The record is from RNAcentral.
CCCGUCUUCUCGAGUGUUUUCCCCUAUUACCGGGCUUAAAGCGUUCGUAGCUGGCUUGUUAAGUCUCUGGGGAAAUCUUCCGGCUCAACCGGAAGGCGUCUCAGGGAUACUGGCAGGCUAGGGACCGGAAGAGGUGAGAGGUACUCCAGGGGUAGGAGUGAAAUCCUGUAAUCCUUGGGGGACCACCUGUGGCGAAGGCGUCUCACCAGGACGGCUCCGACAGUGAGGAACGAAAGCUGGGGGAGCAAACCG